Molecule: ribosomal RNA, 253 nt
Filed under: uncultured bacterium
Lineage: Bacteria
Description: partial 16S ribosomal RNA
Rfam family: Bacterial small subunit ribosomal RNA
Source: RNAcentral
UACGUAGGGUGCGAGCGUUAAUCGGAAUUACUGGGCGUAAAGCGUGCGCAGGCGGUUUUGUAAGCCAGAUGUGAAAGCCCCGGGCUUAACCUGGGAAUGGCACUUGGGACUGCAAGGCUGGAGUGUGGCAGAGGAGACUGGAAUUCCUGGUGUAGCAGUGAAAUGCGUAGAUAUCAGGAGGAAUACCGAUGGCGAAGGCAGGUCUCUGGGCUGACACUGACGCUCAUGCACGAAAGCGUGGGGAGCAAACAGG